Molecule: small nuclear RNA, 157 nt
Organism: Erinaceus europaeus (western European hedgehog)
Lineage: Eukaryota; Metazoa; Chordata; Mammalia; Eulipotyphla; Erinaceidae
Gene: U1
Rfam family: U1 spliceosomal RNA
About the family: U1 is a small nuclear RNA (snRNA) component of the spliceosome (involved in pre-mRNA splicing). Its 5' end forms complementary base pairs with the 5' splice junction, thus defining the 5' donor site of an intron. There are significant differences in sequence and secondary structure between metazoan and yeast U1 snRNAs, the latter being much longer (568 nucleotides as compared to 164 nucleotides in human).
Source: Ensembl
AUAUUUACCUUGAAAAGAAAACUGACGAAGGUGUUUUUCCCAGGGUGAGGCUUAUCCAUUGCACUCCGGAUGUGCUGACCCCUGUAAUUUCUCCAAAUGUGGGAAACUCGACUGCACAACUUGUGGUAGUGGGGGACUGCGUUCCCGCUCUCCCCUG